GUGCUUGCUUCAGCAGCAUAGAUACUAAAAUUGGAAUGAUACAGAGAAGGUUAGCAUGGCCCCUGCACAAGGAUGACACGCAAAUUCAUGAAGCAUUCCAUAUUUUU
RNAcentral lists this small nuclear RNA (107 nucleotides) under Microcebus murinus (gray mouse lemur). The record is from RNAcentral. Lineage: Eukaryota; Metazoa; Chordata; Mammalia; Primates; Cheirogaleidae.